Ictalurus punctatus (channel catfish) is the source of this 3833-nucleotide long non-coding RNA. The record is from Ensembl. NCBI's taxonomy places the organism in Eukaryota, Metazoa, Chordata, Actinopteri, Siluriformes, Ictaluridae.
GUAGGACACGUUAUUAUUUAUUUUUUUGCUGAUGAUAUCAUAUCGCUCCUUUCAAAAUGUUCACUGGAGCAGAAAAUGCUAGGAACAAACAAAAGAACAGCACUUAGAUGGAAACUUCUUUCUCUCUCUCUGUCUGUCUCUCUCUCUCUGAAACGACUGAAAUCCACAGAACUUUUCAUUUUCAUCUCACUGAGAUGUCACGUGCCAGAUCCUCCGUGUUUCUUUUCGAAAUAAAACACACUAAUCACCGCCGAGAUUAGCUGUAUAGUUACAACCCACUAGUUAAUGUAAUGUAGGGCUAGCUGGAGACAUUUAUGUUAGCUAGCUAACUAGCUUUUAGGGUUUUUUGUUUUGUUUUUAUACACAGCUAGGUGGCGCUGCACACAGGCUCGAUCGCAAGGGAACAACUUUUGAUACCUCGAUUUUUUGCGCAUAAAUUUGUAUAUAAAUUGCUUUGGCUAACCUUUCCAGUGUGCUAGCUAGCUUGUUAAGGUUUGCUAGAAAUGGUAGGUGAUGCAGAAGCAAAACUUUAUGGUUGUACCGUGGCUAAUCUUUCUCAGCGAUUUCUCAGCGUUUAAGGAUGCGAGAAUUUCUUUGUUUUACUUUAUUUAUGGUCAAACUUUUUUUUUUUUUUAAAUGGUUAUACAGUAUACGUAGCAUACGGACGAGCGCUAGCUGUGCUGUGCUGAGUAUCGUUCGUGGUAACUAGCUAGCUAACUCAGUUACCUCAGUCUACGUGACGUCGCUCCACAUAGACAUAUUUAUAUUUUCCUGAAAUAAGGAAUUAACAAGUUUUUAUUGUGAACGGAGCUGUCCGUGUUAUACGAAUGCUAGCUGUGCUUGGCGUCACUGAAAUGCUAAGAGGAAUACGGGAAGAGGAGAGAGGCAGGGAGGGGGUGCAGCAAGCUCUGUACUCUGUGUUCUAUAAAUAAAUAAAUUGUAAAAACAAUAAAAAAUUCCCACGAAGCGGUCGUAACAUCCCGUAACAGACUGGGCCAAUUUUGUGGACGAAGGUUGCCAGAUAGUGAAAUAUACUUCAGCCGGCGGUUCACGAACGCCUCUGGAGGCCGAGGUUGUUCAACUUUAUUGUUCUUCCCUCGACUCAUUUCUCAGAGGUCGAAAAGAGUGUGUAGUCAUGUAGUGGGAGCAAACCGCUCGGACUUUCCACGAGCGUGUGUGUGUGUGUGUGUGUGUGUGUGUGUGGCAAGAGGAGGGACUUAUCUGUUUUUCCCCCUGAGUCCAUGGUUUGUUUGUUUUAAUGGCCGCCUUUUUUGGUAUUGUGCCCUUUUAAAGAACGGCUUCCCGUGUGGCUACGCGGCUAACGGGAGGAAAGGAUGGAAACACACACACACACACACACACACACACACACACACACACAGAGCCAAAAACACACACCCUAAAAGUGCACGUCCUUCAGGGCACUCGAAGGAGGAAGAAAGUAAGAAAGGGGGAUGGUGGUGUGUGUGUGUGUGUGUGUGGGGGGUGUUGGUUUGGGAUGGGGGGCACUUCUUUCGAGAAUACACUAAUGCACCUUAUCCUGUCCAUAAAACAACCCCCCGCCCCACCACAAAACCCCACCCACAGUUAUGGACCACGAGUGGGUGGAGUUUAAUUCUGUCCUCAGGCGUUUCCUGUUGCUUUAGCUGAUGUUCUAGAUGCAGGAACAGCAGGCAGACCCACUGGCAGGACUGUUACAUGUGUGUGUGUGUGUGUGUGUGUGUGUGUGUACCCCUUCCCCACCCGUGACCUUUGACCUGUACACCUCCAGCUGAGUCACUCACACACUACCACAGUAGGUCUUUCAGAAAGAAGGAAAAAUAGAGAGAAAAGUGUUGACAUGACUUUCUAAUGUGUGUGUGUGUGUGUGUGUGUGUGUGUGUGUGUGUGUGUGUGUGUGUGUGUGUGUGUGGAAGCUGCCAGAGGGGAGUAAAGGGAAAAGUGUCAGAAAAACAGUGUGUGACUGGGAGAGAAAGAAAGGAGGGAGCAAAAAAAUUGUCAGAAACGGGGACACACAGUGGAAAACAAACCCGAAAAGGUAGAGAGACGUAGAGGAAGAGAGAAAACGAGUGAGUCAGGGGAGAGGGCAUGAAAUGGAGAGAGAGAUGAAAAGAGAUGGAAGGACAGGAAAAGAAAAGAAGGGGACAGACAAGGAAAGAGAGGGAGAGGACAGACGUGAUGAGAAAAACAGAUGGAGGCGUUGAAAGGAAGACAGAACGAGGGAGUGAGAAAGAAAGGGACGAAAAGGGACUGAAAAAAGGAGAGGUGGCGUGUUGAAAAGCGAGACAGAGAAAUAGAUGGGGAGAUAAAGAUAAAUCGGAUGAGAGACAGAGAGAGAGUAGAGGGACAGCAGGAGAAAGGAAAGUGGGAAGAAACAUGAGAGAGAGGGAUGAGAGAGAGAGAGAAGGAGAAACAGAAAGACGUGAUUAAAAAAGCCUAGAUAGAGAAGGACAAAGAGAAACAGACAGCAAGAGAGGGAAAGGAAGGAGGGAAGAAUACGAGAAAGAGUUAGAGUGAGAGAGGUACUGAGAGGGAGAGAGAGAGAGAGGGAAAGGAAAGAGGGAAGAAUACGAGAAAGAGUCAGAGUGAGAGAGGUACACAGAGGGAGAGAGAGAGAGAGAGAGGGGGAAAGGAAAGAGGGAAGAAUACGAGAAAGAGUCAGAGUGAGAGAGGUACACAGAGGGAGAGAGAGAGAGAGAGGGAAAGGAAAGAGGGAAGAAUAUGAGAAACAGUCAGAGUGAGAGAGGUACACAGAGGGGGGGAGAGAGAGAGAGAGAGAGAGGGAAAGGAAAGAGGGAAGAAUACGAGAAAGAGUCAGAGUGAGAGAGGUACACAGAGGGGGAGAGAGAGAGAGAGAAAGGAAAGAGGGAAGAAUACGAGAAAGAGUCAGAGUGAGAGAGGUACACAGAGGGAGAGAGAGGUGGAAAGGAAAGGGGGAAGGAGGAAGAAGAAGAAGAAUUACGGAAUAAGAGGUAGAGGCGUCGAUAAGGACAGAGAGAAACGGAUUGAGAGAGAAAGAAAGAGGGAAGAAUAAAAGAAAAUGAGAUGAAGGACUAGAAUAGAAGAGAGAGAGAGGGAGAGAGAGGGCGAGAGAGCAUGUUUAAACUCUGGAGCUGUAAUCCCGGAUAAAACCACCAGCGAUCAAAACAUGCCAUCAGUCUCUCUCUCUCUCCCUCUCCUCCCUCCUCCCUUCUUUUCCUCGGCAUAAUAGAGUCGUCUCUACGUGCUGCCCGAGCUCAACCUCUCUCUCUCUCUCUCUCUCUCUCUCUCUCUCUCUCUCUCUCUCUCUCUCUCCACAUUGGCAGUGUCCAUAUGGAACAGUUUAUCUAGGAGCCGCAGUUUUUGUGCCCAUUAAAGCCGAGUUGCUUUAGGAAAGAAAGAGACACUUGGAGCAGAAAGGAAGAGAAAAAAACGAUGAAAACCUCUUUAUUAUGAUCGAGCAGAACCACGGCAGCUCGGCCGACACUCAACCUCUUGCUCUGUGUGUGUGUGUGUGUGUGUGUGUGUGUGUGUGUGUGUGUGUGUGUGGUUCACCCACAGAUGUUCUUGAUUUAGAGCAGCACACGUGGAUGGAGAAGAUAAACACACCGUUGAGACUUACGCACUGUACUUCUGCUUUACUAGCGCUAAGCGUUACUGUUCGGCGGUUAUCGUUACAGUUAAAGACGUAAACAUCGUUCCAAACAUUUAUUUAUUUUUUUUUAAAUCUCUUCGUAAACAUUUCCUAAAGCGUACGUUUGAGACGUAUCGAUUCUUAAAUCUCCUGUCAACUUAUCAUUUCCUUCUCUAAGAUUAGCUUCGUAGCAUUAGCCGCGAUUUGAGAGAUUUCUCGA